AACGCAUAUUGCGCUCUCUGGUAUUCCGGAGAGCAUGCUUGUUUGAGUAUCAGUAAACACCUCAACUUUCAUAUCUUUUUUGAAAUGGGAGUUGGACUUGAGUGAUCCCAACGCUUUUCCUUACCGAAAAGUGGCGGGUUACUUGAAAUGCAGGUGCAGCUGGACUUUUCUCUGAGCUAUAAGCAUAUCUAUUUAGUCUGCCUAAAAAACAGAUUAUUACCUUUGCUGCAGCUAACAUAAAGGAGAUUAGUUCUUGUGCUGACUGAUGCAGGAUUCACAAAGACAGGCUUCGGCCGACUUUGUAAACUCGAUCUCAAAUCAAGUAAGACUACCCGCUGAACUUAA
This 345-nucleotide unclassified non-coding RNA is filed under the name uncultured Mortierella. RNAcentral's name for it is "sequence contains ITS2". The stretch from base 1 to 52 matches the Rfam family "5.8S ribosomal RNA", at positions 103 to 154 of the family's 154-position model. Lineage: Eukaryota; Fungi; Mortierellomycota; Mortierellomycetes; Mortierellales; Mortierellaceae. The record is from RNAcentral.